GCGGUUUUGGGCACCCCUCAAGGGACUGAAAAUCCCUGUGUCCCCAGUUCGAUUCUGGGAGGCGGCACCA
RNAcentral lists this transfer RNA (70 nucleotides) under Chitinivibrionales bacterium. Its description in RNAcentral is "tRNA-Ser". The record is from RNAcentral. Lineage: Bacteria; Pseudomonadati; Fibrobacterota; Chitinivibrionia; Chitinivibrionales.